RNAcentral lists this ribosomal RNA (253 nucleotides) under uncultured bacterium. Its description in RNAcentral is "partial 16S ribosomal RNA". It matches the Rfam family "Bacterial small subunit ribosomal RNA", at positions 524 to 776 of the family's 1533-position model. The record is from RNAcentral.
AACGUAGGUGGCAAGCGUUAUCCGGAUUUACUGGGCGUAAAGGGUGUGCAGGCGGGGUUGCAAGUGGUGUAUGAAAUCUCCCGGCUUAACCGGGAGGGGUUAUGCCAGACUGCAAUUCUAGAGGACGAGAGAGGGAUGCAGAAUUCCAGGUGUAGCGGUGAAAUGCGUAGAUAUCUGGAGGAAUACCGGUGGCGAAGGCGGCAUCCUGGACCGGCAUUGACGCUGAUGAGCGAAAGCUAGGGGAGCAAACGGG